This 440-nucleotide ribosomal RNA is filed under the name uncultured bacterium. RNAcentral describes it as "partial 16S ribosomal RNA". It matches the Rfam family "Bacterial small subunit ribosomal RNA", at positions 338 to 795 of the family's 1533-position model. The record is from RNAcentral.
CCUACGGGAGGCAGCAGUAGGGAAUAUUGCUCAAUGGGGGCAACCCUGAAGCAGCAAUGCCGCGUGUAGGAUGAAGGUUUUCGGAUUGUAAACUCCUUUUGUUAGAGAAGAUAAUGACGGUAUCUAACGAAUAAGCAACGGCCAACUCCGUGCCAGCAGCCGCGGUAAUACGGAGGGUGCAAGCGUUACUCGGAAUCACUGGGCGUAAAGAGCGCGUAGGCGGGUUGGCAAGUCAGAUGUGAAAUCCUAUGGCUUAACCAGAGAACUGCAUUUGAAACUGUUAUUCUAGAGUAUGGGAGAGGUAGGUAGAAUUCUUGGUGUAGCGGUAAAAUGCGUAGAGAUCAAGAGGAAUACUGAUUGCGAAGGCGACCUGCUAGAACAUGACUGACGCUGAUGCGCGAAAGCGUGGGGAGCAAACAGGAUUAGAUACCCGUGUAGUC